UGUGCAGUAAGAAAAAUAAACUUAAUUCCAGUUUUUAACUUAAUCAACUUAAAUUAAGUUUAUUUUUCUUACUGCAUUGGCAGAUAUUUUGACUUGUUUUAAGUAAAAAGAAAAACUCUUGAUUUUUAUCAUUUAUUUCAAUAAACAAGACUUAAUAUCUUAAGCCACUUGCUUACCAAGUCAAUGUAUCUCAAUUUGAGAAUUUUUAGAUAUUUAUAUUAGAAAACAAGACAAAAAACUAGGUAAGACAAUCAUUUUUUGCAGUGUGAGGGAGAAGAACCAAGCCCUGAGGGAACGUAGUGAACGAGCAGCUUUGGAUGACAGCGGCUUACUUUUAAUGUUGCUUGACAACACUUUGAGGCAGGAUAAAAUGCUCCAGGAACAAUUUCUUUAGAGUAUCUUCUCUAAUCACCUUUCAAUUAAUACAACCUGGACUGGUGUAGGGAAUCAAGCAUGUUUUAGAUACCCGUUUCUGAAGACCAUUGUUCAAAGAGCCAUCCGGAAGAACCCUGCAACCCAGGAUGCCACUGAUGGGGCCGUUCAGGUUAAUGUUACGUGUUACCUGAAAGGAGCAUCUGACCGUGAAGGCGGAAAAAGGCAGUACACAGCUGAGCGGGACCCCCAGAUGACCCCUUAAACCGAGGCUGACUACUGACACCCCAACAUCGCUGACAACUGGAAACAUUUCUUUAUCCUGCAGUCAGUAACAUCAAGAAGCCUGAAGUGUGACAGUACACUCAACCAAUCCACAUUUCACUGUGAAAAUUACUUUUCUUUUUUUCCAAAUUCCCUGGGACCCUGCCUUGAUGGCAGCUCCUUGGAAAGAUAUAGAAUGGGGAGAAGGUUUGUCCUUUAUACAGGUGCACGAGAUAAAGUACUGAUCAUAAGCGCCUCAUGCUUAUACAUUACAUUCAUGUGGAUAUUUUUUAAUAUCUUUAGUGUCUUUUACUGUUUUUUUUAGUCACGUGGAUUUGUUUUUUUUUAAUCAUUUUGUUUAUGUUGAUGUGUGUUGUGUUAUAAGCUACUGGGACCUUGAAUUUACCAUUGAGGAUCAAUAAAGUAUCUGUUCAUUUUUCAUUCACAAGAGACAGAUCAUAUUGCAGCAAAGUAAAAAUAUUGUGUCCCAGGUCAGCAAUGCCAUUAUAAUAGUCUAUUCUAGUCCAGAGCUUUACUCUAAAUGAUUAACACUUAUCUAUUGUUAGAAAUGACGAUUAUUUGGUAUGCUGGGCAUUCUUUGGUACCAAAUAUCCUCAUUACUUAAUAUAAUGUUUACUGGUAGCCUAAUUAUUUUCAUCUUAGAGCUGACCUCUAAAUUAUUAACAAUUAUUGUAAAUGUCUAAUUUGCUUGUAAUGUUUUUUUUAAACUAGAAUUUGUUUGGAAACCUGUAUGUUCUUUAGUACUUUUUUAUUUUUCAGUUAUU
This is a long non-coding RNA of Paramisgurnus dabryanus, 1421 nucleotides long. RefSeq lists it as uncharacterized. The record is from RefSeq and is a predicted model, not a curated record. NCBI's taxonomy places the organism in Eukaryota, Metazoa, Chordata, Actinopteri, Cypriniformes, Cobitidae.